This 440-nucleotide ribosomal RNA is filed under the name uncultured Proteiniphilum sp. RNAcentral describes it as "bacterial SSU rRNA". It matches the Rfam family "Bacterial small subunit ribosomal RNA", at positions 338 to 775 of the family's 1533-position model. The record is from RNAcentral. Lineage: Bacteria; Pseudomonadati; Bacteroidota; Bacteroidia; Bacteroidales; Dysgonomonadaceae.
CCUACGGGAGGCAGCAGUGAGGAAUAUUGGUCAAUGGACGCAAGUCUGAACCAGCCACGUCGCGUGAAGGAAGACGGCCCUACGGGUUGUAAACUUCUUUUAUACGGGAAUAAAGUGCCCCACGCGUGGGGUUUUGCAUGUACCGUAUGAAUAAGGAUCGGCUAACUCCGUGCCAGCAGCCGCGGUAAUACGGAGGAUCCGAGCGUUAUCCGGAUUUAUUGGGUUUAAAGGGUGCUCAGGCGGGGGAUUAAGUCGGCGGUGAAAUUUUGCAGCUCAACUGUAAAAGUGCCUUCGAAACUGGUUUCCUUGAGUGUGGAUGAGGUAGGCGGAAUUUGUGGUGUAGCGGUGAAAUGCAUAGAUAUCACGAGGAACUCCGAUUGCGCAGGCAGCUUACUAAACCAUAACUGACGCUCAAGCACGAAGGCGUGGGGAUCAAACAG